GAUGAACGCUGGCGGCGUGCCUAAUACAUGCAAGUCGAGCGAACGGACGAGAAGCUUGCUUCUCUGAUGUUAGCGGCGGACGGGUGAGUAACACGUGGAUAACCUACCUAUCAGACUGGGAUAACUUCGGGAAACCGUAGCUAAUACCGGAUAAUAUUUUGAACCGCAUGGUUCAAAAGUGAAAGACGGUCUUGCUGUCACUUAUAGAUGGAUCCGCGCUGCAUUAGCUAGUUGGUAAGGUAACGGCUUACCAAGGCAACGAUGCAUAGCCGACCUGAGAGGGUGGUCGGCUACACGGGAAGUGAGACAGGGCCCAGACUCCGACGGUAGGCAGCGGUAGGGAAUCUUACGCGAGGGGCGAGAGCGUGACGGAGCAACGUCGCGGGAGUGAUGAAGGUCUUAGGAUGGGAAAACUAUGUUAUUAGGGAAGAACAUAUGUGUAAGUAACCGUGCACAUCUUGACGGUACCGAAUCAGAAAGCCACGGCUAACUACGUG
This 497-nucleotide ribosomal RNA is filed under the name uncultured bacterium. RNAcentral describes it as "partial 16S ribosomal RNA". It matches the Rfam family "Bacterial small subunit ribosomal RNA", at positions 28 to 507 of the family's 1533-position model. The record is from RNAcentral.